CCGAGUGAGGGCCUCCGGCCCGACCUCCAACCCUUUGUUGACCAACACCUGUUGCCUCGGGGGCGACCCGGACGCCGACGCGUCGGCCGUCGGGCACCCCGGUGGACCACUGCAACUCUGUCAUCCGUGCGUCGGAGUACUUUGCGAAUCAAUCA
This 155-nucleotide unclassified non-coding RNA is filed under the name uncultured Ascomycota. RNAcentral's name for it is "sequence contains ITS1". The record is from RNAcentral. Lineage: Eukaryota; Fungi; Ascomycota.